Molecule: small RNA, 131 nt
Filed under: Salmonella enterica subsp. enterica serovar Infantis
Lineage: Bacteria; Pseudomonadati; Pseudomonadota; Gammaproteobacteria; Enterobacterales; Enterobacteriaceae
Also listed under: 100 other names
Description: RtT sRNA
Rfam family: RtT RNA
About the family: This family represents a bacterial cis-regulatory element known as RtT RNA.
Source: RNAcentral
AUUCUACCCAUGUGGGGAAGGAUGAGAAGCUUCGACUAAGGUUCGAUUCGAGCGCAGCGAGAAAGCGUUGCCAACGGCAACGGCCCGAAGGGCGAAGCGCGCAGCGCUGAGUCAUCCUUCCCCCACCACCA